Molecule: long non-coding RNA, 1243 nt
Filed under: Heterocephalus glaber (naked mole-rat)
Lineage: Eukaryota; Metazoa; Chordata; Mammalia; Rodentia; Bathyergidae
Description: lncRNA (ENSHGLG00100050388.1)
Source: RNAcentral
UGACCUUUCUCUGUCACUUCUCCGAGUUUUGAAAAACUCACAAUACUUUAAGGAACAAUACCUAGCCUUUCUGAUGACACAAUGAAUUCCUGUGCAUUCCAAUCUUAGAAUCUGUAGGGCAUGGAGACUGCUCUGUGGCACAACUAGAGAAGGAGAGAUGUGGGGGACAGUUGGAAGAGUGGUAAAGCAGUAGAGGCAGAAUGCUCAUUUUGGUAAUCAAGGAGCACCAAAACAUAACAAAUGAAUUCUCCCCGAUACCUCCUAAGGAUGAUGACUUAGCACUCACUUUCUCUAGAAGUAAUGGCUACAGAGUUGAAGAGGGGCAGAUAAUCCAGGAUCUUCCCAGAAGAGACAUUCCCACAGCAGGCACAGCUGGUUCCUGUUGAAUGCCAUCAGGAUGAUUCAGCCACCCACCAGGAACACCAGUAACAGCAAGUGCACGCACAGAAAUCUGCAAAACUUUCUUCUUUUGAUGCCAACACUAUUACUCUGGCAAAGUCAAAACCCUUUAUGGAUUUACCAGUUCAACUAAAUGUGACCUUGUUCCCCUCACAAAUACCAGCUCACUCUCAAAUAAACACAACUUCUGGCUGAUUAAAAUGCAACGUUCUUCCACAGUUGAGUGCACCCUGCAGUGAGUCCCUCCUCUGUGCUGUGUCUACAUUCUCUCCCUUUUUCAUUUUUUCACUGUUCAAUGAAACUUCAAAGGAUGAAUGAGAUCCAUAUACACUCAGAGUCCACCUUGUAUGUUGUCCUGCUUACUGCUGACCACAUGCAUUUAAAGUUAUGCCUCAAGUUGUUUUAUUGUUUCUAUUUUUAAGAAGUUUUCCAUUUCCACAGAAUGUGGUAAUAUGCCUUGAAAAACAGAAAUGUGUAGAUAAACUGUGCUGACCACAGACUUCAUUAAUACAUGAUUUCCAUGCCAUACUCUAGCCAGUUAAAAAUUCUAUACCUUCCUCCUUCAAAUCUAGACCAGAUUACAGACUUAAAGGAAGAAAAUGCCAAAGAUGACAGCUAGCUAUCAAAAAUGUUCUAGUGCCUCAUUUUCAGGUCUCCAAAGUAAAAUCUAAGGGCAUUCGACAAAGAUUCAGGUGCUCUCAAUAGCCAUGAAAAUAUAUGGCUGAAGAGGGAAUCUGUAAAUGUAAUGAAUACACAAUUGGCUUAUAACAGAUGCAACCAAAAUUAAAUUCAAGAUCUUGACCUACUCUUCAAAGUGAAAGUUUUUAGUUCAUGCUACAGAGAG